Molecule: long non-coding RNA, 373 nt
Organism: Oncorhynchus tshawytscha (Chinook salmon)
Lineage: Eukaryota; Metazoa; Chordata; Actinopteri; Salmoniformes; Salmonidae
Source: Ensembl
GCCAAGACCAAAGAGCUGUCAAAGGACACCAGAAACAAAAUUGUAGACCUGCACCAGGCUGGGAAGACUGAAUCUGCAAUAGUCUAGCCUGAAAGCUGGAAGAUUGCAUUUUGAAUACUUUACUGGAGGAAAGUGUACGCCCGGGGUUCCUCAAGACAGAAACGUCUCUCUCUCAGACGGUGCACCGAGUCGGCCUCAACAAAGCUCCUCCUCGUUGAUCAAGUGUCACAUCCUGUGUGCCUCUGGCUUUGCUCUUCUUCUCUCUCUCUCACUUGCUCUCUCUCCCCGCUGCCGUUUUCUCUAGUGCCACACACAUAAAUACAUAAAAACAUGGUUUCUGGAGUGCCGGGGUGACAGGCGGACCAGGUCGAGA